RNAcentral lists this transfer RNA (62 nucleotides) under uncultured Prevotella sp. It matches the Rfam family "tRNA", at positions 8 to 63 of the family's 71-position model. Rfam says of the family: Transfer RNA (tRNA) molecules are approximately 80 nucleotides in length. The record is from RNAcentral. RNAcentral also lists the same sequence under 1 other name. Lineage: Bacteria; Pseudomonadati; Bacteroidota; Bacteroidia; Bacteroidales; Prevotellaceae.
CAGUAGCUCAGUUGGUUAGAGCACCUGACUGUUAAUCAGGGGGUCGUUGGUUCAAGCCCAUC